RNAcentral lists this ribosomal RNA (235 nucleotides) under uncultured bacterium. Its description in RNAcentral is "partial 16S ribosomal RNA". It matches the Rfam family "Bacterial small subunit ribosomal RNA", at positions 524 to 757 of the family's 1533-position model. The record is from RNAcentral.
UACGUAGGGUGCAAGCGUUAAUCGGAAUUACUGGGCGUAAAGCGUGCGCAGGCGGUUUUGUAAGUCUGUCGUGAAAUCCCCCGGGCUCAACCUGGGAAUUGCGAUGGAGACUGCAAGGCUAGAAUCUGGCAGAGGGGGGUAGAAUUCCACGUGUAGCAGUGAAAUGCGUAGAGAUGUGGAGGAACACCGAUGGCGAAGGCAGCCCCCUGGGUCAAGAUUGACGCUCAUGCACGAA